AAAAACAUGUCUUUUUGUUUAUGAUUUAAAGUCUGGCCUGCCCAAUGAUUAUUUUUUAAUGGCUGCAGUAUUUUGACUGUACAAAGGUAGCAUAAUCAUUAGUUUCUUAAUUAGGAGCUGGAAUGAAUGGUUUGAUGAAAAAUUUACUGUCUCAAUUUAAUUGUUUUAAAACUUUAUUUUUAAGUGAAAAAGCUUAAAUUUUUUAGAAAGACGAGAAGACCCUAUAGAGUUUAAUAAUUUUUUUUAUUAUAAAUUUAAUGAUUAUAAUAUUUUUAAUUUAAAGAUUUAUUUUGUUGGGGUGAUGCGAAAAUUUAAAAAACUUUUCUAUAUUUUAACACUAAUUAGUGAUUAAAUGAUCCUUUUUGGAUUAAAAGAUUAAAUUACCUUAGGGAUAACAGCGUAAUUUUUUUUGAAAGUUCUUAUUGAUAAAAAAGUUUGCGACCUCGAUGUUGGAUUAAAAUUUAUUUUCGGUGUAGAAGCUGGGAAAUUUAGGUCUGUUCGACC
This 504-nucleotide ribosomal RNA is filed under the name Agnaptoria sp. QH005. Its description in RNAcentral is "partial 16S ribosomal RNA". It matches the Rfam family "Bacterial large subunit ribosomal RNA", at positions 1809 to 2586 of the family's 2925-position model. The record is from RNAcentral. Lineage: Eukaryota; Metazoa; Arthropoda; Insecta; Coleoptera; Tenebrionidae.